CCAGAGCCUGAAUCAGUAUGUGUGUUAGUGGAAGCGUCUGGAAAGGCGCGCGAUACAGGGUGACAGCCCCGUACACAAAAAUGCACAUAUUGUGAGCUCGAUGAGUAGGGCGGGACACGUGGUAUCCUGUCUGAAUAUGGGGGGACCAUCCUCCAAGGCUAAAUACUCCUGACUGACCGAUAGUGAACCAGUACCGUGAGGGAAAGGCGAAAAGAACCCCGGCGAGGGGAGUGAAAAAGAACCUGAAACCGUGUACGUACAAGCAGUGGGAGCACGCUUAGGCGUGUGACUGCGUACCUUUUGUAUAAUGGGUCAGCGACUUAUAUUCUGUAGCAAGGUUAACCGAAUAGGGGAGCCGAAGGGAAACCGAGUCUUAACUGGGCGUUAAGUUGCAGGGUAUAGACCCGAAACCCGGUGAUCUAGCCAUGGGCAGGUUGAAGGUUGGGUAACACUAACUGGAGGACCGAACCGACUAAUGUUGAAAAAUUAGCGGAUGACUUGUGGCUGGGGGUGAAAGGCCAAUCAAACCGGGAGAUAGCUGGUUCUCCCCGAAAGCUAUUUAGGUAGCGCCUCGUGAAUUCAUCUCCGGGGGUAGAGCACUGUUUCGGCAAGGGGGUCAUCCCGACUUACCAACCCGAUGCAAACUGCGAAUACCGGAGAAUGUUAUCACGGGAGACACACGGCGGGUGCUAACGUCCGUCGUGAAGAGGGAAACAACCCAGACCGCCAGCUAAGGUCCCAAAGUCAUGGUUAAGUGGGAAACGAUGUGGGAAGGCCCAGACAGCCAGGAUGUUGGCUUAGAAGCAGCCAUCAUUUAAAGAAAGCGUAAUAGCUCACUGGUCGAGUCGGCCUGCGCGGAAGAUGUAACGGGGCUAAACCAUGCACCGAAGCUGCGGCAGCGACGCUUAUGCGUUGUUGGGUAGGGGAGCGUUCUGUAAGCCUGUGAAGGUGUGCUGUGAGGCAUGCUGGAGGUAUCAGAAGUGCGAAUGCUGACAUAAGUAACGAUAAAGCGGGUGAAAAGCCCGCUCGCCGGAAGACCAAGGGUUCCUGUCCAACGUUAAUCGGGGCAGGGUGAGUCGACCCCUAAGGCGAGGCCGAAAGGCGUAGUCGAUGGGAAACAGGUUAAUAUUCCUGUACUUGGUGUUACUGCGAAGGGGGGACGGAGAAGGCUAUGUUGGCCGGGCGACGGUUGUCCCGGUUUAAGCGUGUAGGCUGGUUUUCCAGGCAAAUCCGGAAAAUCAAGGCUGAGGCGUGAUGACGAGGCACUACGGUGCUGAAGCAACAAAUGCCCUGCUUCCAGGAAAAGCCUCUAAGCAUCAGGUAA
RNAcentral lists this ribosomal RNA (1324 nucleotides) under Escherichia coli. Its description in RNAcentral is "partial 23S ribosomal RNA". It matches the Rfam family "Bacterial large subunit ribosomal RNA", at positions 296 to 1634 of the family's 2925-position model. The record is from RNAcentral. Lineage: Bacteria; Pseudomonadati; Pseudomonadota; Gammaproteobacteria; Enterobacterales; Enterobacteriaceae.